GGUCAAGUUUAUAAGGGCACAGGGUGGAUGCCUUGGCACUAGGAGCCGAAGAAGGACGUUGUAGCCUGCGAUAAGCCUCGGGGAGUUGGCAAACGAACCGUGAUCCGAGGAUGUCCGAAUGGGGAAACCCCGCACGAGUCAUGUCGUGUGACCCGCACCUGAAUAUAUAGGGUGUGUGGAGGGAACGGCGGGAAGUGAAACAUCUCAGUACCGCCAGGAAGAGAUAUUCCGUGAGUAGUGGCGAGCGAAAGCGGAUCAGGCCAAACCGUGUACGUGUUCAAGCCGGCAGGCGUUGCGUGCACGGGGUUGUGGGACCUUUCAGCUGGUUCUGCCGAUCCAGCAGGGAGUCAGAAAGUCGCGUCAUAGUCGAAGGGCAUUGAAAGGCCCGGCACAGAGGGUGUGACCCCCGUAGACGAAAUGGCGUGGCCUCCCGAAGGGGAUCCCAAGUAGCUCCGGGCCCGAGAAACCUGGAGUGAAUCUGCACAGACCACUGUGUAAGCCUAAAUACUACCUAGUGACCGAUAGCGGACAAGUACCGUGAGGGAAAGGUGAAAAGUACCCCGGGAGGGGAGUGAAAUAGUACCUGAAACCGUGUGCCUACAAUCCGUUGGAGCCUCCCUAGCAGGGGUGACAGCGUGCCUUUUGAAGAAUGAGCCUGCGAGUUAGUGGUACGUGGCGAGGUUAACCCGUGUGGGGAAGCCGUAGCGAAAGCGAGUCCGAAUAGGGCGAUUCAGUCGCGUGCUCUAGACCCGAAGCGGAGUGAUCUAGCCAUGGGCAGGUUGAAGCGCGGGUAAGACCGCGUGGAGGACCGAACCCACCAGGGUUGAAAACCUGGGGGAUGACCUGUGGUUAGGGGUGAAAGGCCAAUCAAACUCCGUGAUAGCUGGUUCUCCCCGAAAUGCAUUUAGGUGCAGCGUCACGUGUUUCUUGCCGGAGGUAGAGCUACUGGAUAGCCGAUGGGCCCCAACAGGUUACUGACGUUAGCCAAACUCCGAAUGCCGGUAAGCCAGAGCGUGGCAGUGAGACUGCGGGGGAUAAGCUCCGUAGUCGAGAGGGAAACAGCCCAGACCACCAGCUAAGGCCCCUAAGCGUAUGCUAAGUGGGAAAGGAUGUGGAGUUGCACAGACAACCAGGAGGUUGGCUUAGAAGCAGCCACCCUUGAAAGAGUGCGUAAUAGCUCACUGGUCAAGUGAUUCCGCGCCGACAAUGUAGCGGGGCUCAAGUAUACCGCCGAAGCUGUGGCAUUCACAUAUCAGCUCAGCGCACCUUUUGGGUGUGUUCAGGCGUGUGGAUGGGUAGGGGAGCGUCGUGUGGCGAGUGAAGUCGCGGGGUAACCCAGCGGUGGACGCCACACGAGUGAGAAUGCAGGCAUGAGUAGCGAAAGACGGGUGAGAAACCCGUCCGCCGAAUGAUCAAGGGUUCCAGGGCCAGGCUAAUCCGCCCUGGGUAAGUCGGGACCUAAGGC
RNAcentral lists this ribosomal RNA (1465 nucleotides) under Cellulomonas fengjieae. RNAcentral describes it as "Cellulomonas sp. zg-ZUI188 partial 23S ribosomal RNA". It matches the Rfam family "Bacterial large subunit ribosomal RNA", at positions 1 to 1397 of the family's 2925-position model. Lineage: Bacteria; Bacillati; Actinomycetota; Actinomycetes; Micrococcales; Cellulomonadaceae. The record is from RNAcentral.